Molecule: ribosomal RNA, 303 nt
Filed under: uncultured bacterium
Lineage: Bacteria
Description: partial 16S ribosomal RNA
Rfam family: Bacterial small subunit ribosomal RNA
Source: RNAcentral
AGCAGUAGCCACGGGAAUACGAAGGGGGCUAGCGUUGUUCGGAAUUACUGGGCGUAAAGCGCACGUAGGCGGACAUUUAAGUCAGGGGUGAAAUCCCUGGGCUCAACCCCGGAACUGCCUUUGAUACUGGGUGUCUAGAGUAUGGAAGAGGUGAGUGGAAUUCCGAGUGUAGAGGUGAAAUUCGUAGAUAUUCGGAGGAACACCAGUGGCGAAGGCGGCUCACUGGUCCAUUACUGACGCUGAGGUGCGAAAGCGUGGGGAGCAAACAGGAUUAGAUACCCCGGUAGUCCCUGUCUCUUAUAC